GGAAACACAAACAAAUAAAACCCUCUCCUCCCGUCUUCUCCUCUCCCCCUCUCUCCACUCACUUAGCAAUAGCUAGGGUUUUAUUAUCUUUCUCUCCCCUGUAUUAGAAACCCUAGCUUUGAAACUCUCAUCCCCAACAACAAUAAUCACCAUCAGCGUUGGAUUUGCCAUCACCGAUCCGCCGUUGCCCGUCGCGUAGCACCUCCUUCUGUCGCAGAACCACCACCUUAGUGCCGACGAUGACAGAUCUUGAAGGACGACCAAACCCUAGAGAGCUACGGAUAAUUCAAUCGAUUCUCACUGUACUCAUUUUUUGUACAUGUGAAUGUAGAUAUAGCUUUCAAAUGAUACUUUCCAACCAUCAAUGCCGGCUCUAAAAAUCAACAUCUUCAGUGGGUUUCAUUGAGUUUUGUCUCAUACGAACUUGACAAGUAAAGCAGAGCUUGAAGCAAGAAUCAAUGGAAUGGGUCAUAUGGCCACCCAAGGUUGCUUGAUUUGAGAAGAUUUAUAUAGAGGUUGACAAAUUCGGUGAGGAAUUAGUAAAGCAUUCUGAGAAGUCAUUGCCCUUAUUAUUGGUCACUAUUAAUGGUUUAUUUUCAAAAUUGGAGGCGUCAAUUGGCCAUUUUCAUACAGUGUGUCAGAGUGACUCUUCUGUUGAUGGGAGCUAUUCAUUCCCUCUAAUGUUUGAGAAAUUUCCAGAAGUGAACUAGGAAGGCUCUCAAUGGACAUAUUGUGAGAUUAGAGAUGCUAUCAACUUAAUUUAUGAAAAUCUACACAAGCUGGAUUCUUACUUAAAUGUCAUUGUUAGAGUCUAAGCAUUCUUACUUAUGCUUUCUGAUUUUUCUUCAAAGUUUGUGGUUGUGUUUUAUUACUAAGAAUUGUUUGUGGUUGUGUCAUUGUAAGACUUUGGAAGGACUUAUUAGCCAAGAAAAGUUUGAAAAAUCUCGAGCCUAUAGUCUUGAUAAAAGGUUUUGUUGUUUUUUAUUUGGUCACAAGUUUCCUCAUUUAUAUUUUUUUACCUGUGCUACUCACUAAUAUAGCUAUUUUGGUUGUGCUCUGAUUUGCCUUUCUUAACUUUCAGCCACUUCCAUUUUGUUCAUGAGUUUGUAACUAUACUGAUGGACUUUGCAAUUUUGUUUUCUGGGGGUAUUGCCUUGGUUGUGGAAGACAUCAGGAGACUUCCUUGUGUACAUGGGUCUUAACGCAAAGAAUGAAAUAGUGCACACCCUUGCAUUUUUGGCCGGUGUUAUGUUUUGGUCACAGGAUUGGAUGUAUACUUCUUUCUGUUGGACAGGGUGAAUUCCAUGGUGAAGUGAUGCAUACUCUGAAGUUUGUUGUGAACUAGUCAGACUACACUGUGCAUACAUUAAGAAAUGUCACAGAGUAUCUAUUACUUGCGAAAACCAUUAAUAUGGUCCAGGUUUUUCUUCCUUCAAAUGACAAAGAUGAAAUUGACAAGUUGAAUGCAGAUUUAUAUACUGCAGUAGAUACAUUGAGCUAGAAAACAAGUGAAAAUUCUGAAACAAUACAGAGAGUCUUCAAUACAGUGCGAUCGACACUGAUCAUUAUUGCUGUGUUGAUGCUUGUUCUAUCUCUUAUUGGUCUUGGUCAGAAAUUUUUUAGAGUGAUG
Molecule: non-coding RNA, 1630 nt
Organism: Camellia sinensis
Lineage: Eukaryota; Viridiplantae; Streptophyta; Magnoliopsida; Ericales; Theaceae
Source: RefSeq, a predicted model, not a curated record